RNAcentral lists this long non-coding RNA (1832 nucleotides) under Marmota monax (woodchuck). Lineage: Eukaryota; Metazoa; Chordata; Mammalia; Rodentia; Sciuridae. The record is from RNAcentral.
ACAAAUUAGCAUAUUAAAGGUGCUGGGAAGUCCUAUACUUAAGAACCCCAUUUGCCUAUAUUUAACCUGUAGGAUUUGACAUCAUACAAGUCUUUCUUCAUACAGCAUUUAUUAAAAACUCUUGGAACAUACUUUGGAAAAUGUUGUUGUAUGACCUAGGCCAUACAUUCGGAUCCACAGUCUAUUAGAUCUUCAUGGGCACUGGCCUUCAGGCACACUUAAUCUAAGACGUGAUGCUGCUUCUGAGGUUGGUGUGGGAGGAUAGGCUGGGGAAACUGAUCUAGGGUGGAUGCAGGCAGUGUGGCAAAUCAGAGCUAGAGACAGUUCCCAAAAAGAAGAAACAAAUUUCCAUCCUAAAUUCAGAAGCUGUCUGUCAAACUCUCAGGAGGUAGGCAAACAGUGGAUUUAGGAGAUUCAUCUAGCUGAAGGCUUAGAGUAAGAGAUGAGUCCUGAGAAACACCAUCCCAUCCAGCAAGUAGGACCAAGGUUGUGUGAUGUUUUACUACUCCCUGCACAUGCCCACUAUCUUUUGUACCUCCUUCCUCAAAUUUGUGUUCUUUUCCUAAAUUUGUCUUUCAGGAUGCUAAUCCUUUGUUCUGAGAACAUGUCAGGCACCAUAAAUUCCAAGAUAAAAAAUAGUUCCUACCCUCGAAGAGCUUCAAAUGUUGUAAAAAAGCCUACAAACAAAUAGGCAUUAAAAAUACAGUAUAAUAAGAGACAAGACUGUGCAUAGAUUGGAGGAAUCUUAAGGGAGAUUUUGGUUCUUUAGAAUGAGGAUAAGUUAACUCCUUAGGGAAGAGGAUUGUGGCAGAGAAGGAAAUGUUAUUGCGGAGUAUAAAAAACAAGAUGUUUCAUACUAUAGAAUGUGUAUUUGUUCCAGAAGCCAUUAAUUGGAUUUGUCAUAGAUCUCUAUGCUGGAGUAGGCGAUGAAUUAGGAAACAAUUAGAACAGAGGCAGUCACUAUUUUAGUGACCCAGACUACUGCAUUGGGAAAGGAGAGGGGGAACAGAUUGCUGAGAUAUUACAGCUAGACAAUCAUAGGACUUGCUAACUGAUAUUAUCCAGUAAGGAAAAAAGAGAAAUCAAAGAUGAUACAUUAACCUGCAUUCCUUGUUACCAGUGAGGAAAGAAGGAGAUGGAUUUUCUUCAAACCUUAAAACAUGCCUAAGAUUUAUUCAUACCGGUUGGGUUCAGUUCUAACUGCUUUCUAUCACCAGGGACUGCAGAAGGGUGGCUGCAGUGGAAACAAGAUCAGUACUUGUGUGGCUGGGUAGAAAGAUCAUCAUUCAGAUCCUAAUUUGUAUUCCUUGUUCUUCUCAAGUCACGUAACACAGACUACAUCCUGGAUUCACCCCGUGAGGAGUAUCUUGAACCUGUCUUGCUCAGAGGAGAAUGAAGAGGAUUGCUCUAGAGAUCUCACCGACCAGAAGAGUUGAUGGUUUUCUGUAGGAAGCGGAGCUCCACAGUCUUCCGGCAUCUCAGUCUGUGAGCGUGACUUGAGCAGAGACCUGUGACACCCAACUCUGAGACACAGCCAUCUGAAAUAGGAGCAAAGCAGGCACUACUUGAUGGAGUAGGAAAUGGAGACUAGACUUAGGGUAUUUUUGUAAAAAUGUUUUAAUAUACUGUACACAUUUAAAAGUUGCUACUCAGUAGUUCCUUAAGAAUGAUUCAGUUAUAUCUUUUGAAAUGAUAUAUAAUUAAAUUUUAUAUGUAUACUUUUGUCUUAUAUAUUUACAUCUUUAUAAUUUUAUAUGUAGUUCAUUAUUUGGCAUCAUAUCCAAUGGUCUUUAUAAUUAAGAUCUAUUUAAAAUUUAUGUGAACAGAGUAAA